This 497-nucleotide ribosomal RNA is filed under the name uncultured bacterium. RNAcentral's name for it is "partial 16S ribosomal RNA". It matches the Rfam family "Bacterial small subunit ribosomal RNA", at positions 28 to 507 of the family's 1533-position model. The record is from RNAcentral.
GAUGAACGCUGGCGGCGUGCCUAAUACAUGCAAGUCGAGCGAACAGACGAGGAGCUUGCUCCUCUGACGUUAGCGGCGGACGGGUGAGUAACACGUGGAUAACCUACCUAUAAGACUGGGAUAACUUCGGGAAACCGGAGCUAAUACCGGAUAAUAUAUUGAACCGCAUGGUUCAAUAGUGAAAGACGGUUUUGCUGUCACUUAUAGAUGGAUCCGCGCCGGAUUAGCUAGUUGGUAAGGUAACGGCUUACCAAGGCAACGAUGCGUAGCCGACCUGAGAGGGUGAUCGGCCACACUGGAACUGAGACACGGUCCAGACUCCUAUGGGAGGCAGCAGUAGGGAAUCUUCCGCAAUGGGCGAAAGCCUGACGGAGCAACGCCGCGUGAGUGAUGAAGGUCUUCGGAUCGUAAAACUCUGUUAUUAGGGAAGAACAAAUGUGUAAGUAACUAUGCACGUCUUGACGGUACCUAAUCAGAAAGCCACGGCUAACUACGUG